CAGUCGCCACGGUAAUACGAAGGGGGCUAGCGUUGUUCGGAAUUACUGGGCGUAAAGCGUACGUAGGCGGAUUGUUAAGUGAGGGGUGAAAUCCCGAGGCUCAACCUCGGAACUGCCUUUCAUACUGGCAAUCUUGAGUCCGGGAGAGGUGAGUGGAACUCCUAGUGUAGAGGUGAAAUUCGUAGAUAUUAGGAAGAACACCAGUGGCGAAGGCGGCUCACUGGCCCGGAACUGACGCUGAGGUACGAAAGCGUGGGGAGCAAACAGGAUUAGAUACCCGCGUAGUCCCUGUCUCUUAUAC
RNAcentral lists this ribosomal RNA (301 nucleotides) under uncultured bacterium. RNAcentral's name for it is "partial 16S ribosomal RNA". It matches the Rfam family "Bacterial small subunit ribosomal RNA", at positions 509 to 807 of the family's 1533-position model. The record is from RNAcentral.